This 253-nucleotide ribosomal RNA is filed under the name uncultured bacterium. RNAcentral describes it as "partial 16S ribosomal RNA". It matches the Rfam family "Bacterial small subunit ribosomal RNA", at positions 524 to 776 of the family's 1533-position model. The record is from RNAcentral.
UACGUAGGCAGCGAGCGUUGUUCGGAGUUACUGGGCGUAAAGGGUGUGUAGGCGGUUGUUUAAGUUUGGUGUGAAAUCUCCCGGCUCAACUGGGAGGUGCGCCGAAUACUGAAUGACUUGGAGUGCGGGAGAGGAGAGUGGAAUUCCUGGUGUAGCGGUGAAAUGCGUAGAUAUCAGGAGGAACACCGGUGGUGUAGACGGCUCUCUGGACCGUAACUGACGCUGAGACACGAAAGCGUGGGUAGCAAACAGG